GAUGAAGAACGUAGCGAAAUGCGAUACUUGGUGUGAAUUGCAGAAUCCCGUGAACCAUCGAGUCUUUGAACGCAAGUUGCGCCCGAAGCCAUUAGGCCGAGGGCACGCCUGCCUGGGCGUCACACGUCGUUGCCCCCCCAUCUACUCCUUCGGGAUUGCGGGGGGCGGAUGAUGGCCUCUCGUGCGCCUCGUCGCGCGGUUGGCCUAAAUGCCAAGUCCUCGGCGACGCACGCCACGACAAUCGGUGGUUGCGAAACCUCGGUUGCCUGUCGUGUGCGGUCGUCGCGCGUCGAGGGCUCGAAAAAAUUGCCGGGCUUCGGCUCGACUUUCAACGCGACCCCAGGUCAGGCGGGGUUACCCGCUGAAUUUAAGCAUAUCAAUGCGGAGGA
Molecule: unclassified non-coding RNA, 389 nt
Filed under: soil metagenome
Description: partial contains 5.8S ribosomal RNA, internal transcribed spacer 2, and large subunit ribosomal RNA
Rfam family: 5.8S ribosomal RNA (bases 1-122)
Source: RNAcentral